RNAcentral lists this ribosomal RNA (436 nucleotides) under uncultured bacterium. Its description in RNAcentral is "bacterial SSU rRNA". It matches the Rfam family "Bacterial small subunit ribosomal RNA", at positions 29 to 507 of the family's 1533-position model. The record is from RNAcentral.
AGCGAACGCUGGCGGCAGGCCUAACACAUGCAAGUCGAACGGGUCCUUCGGGACUAGUGGCGGACGGGUGAGUAACGCGUGGGAACGUGCCCCUUGGUACGGAAUAGCCCCGGGAAACUGGGAGUAAUACCGUAUGGUGGUCGAGAGACGAAAGAUUUAUCGCCAAGGGAUCGGCCCGCGUUGGAUUAGGUAGUUGGUGGGGUAAUGGCCUACCAAGCCGACGAUCCAUAGCUGGUUUGAGAGGAUGAUCAGCCACACUGGGACUGAGACACGGCCCAGACUCCUACGGGAGGCAGCAGGUGGGGAAUCUUAGACAAGUGGGGGAAACCCUGAUCUAGCCAUGCCGCGUGAUCGAUGAAGGCCUUAGGGUUGUAAAGAUCUUUCAGAUGGGAAGAUAAUGACGGUACCAUCAGAAGAAGCCCCGGCUAACUCCGUG